AAUGAUUCUCAUCAUACAACACAUGGUAGCGUGUAGGUAUGCUUGUUCCCUGAAUUCCAGCAUGGCUCUUGAGGAAGAAAUCAAACUCCAUUGGGUGGCAAAUCCUAGUAUCGAUAACAGCCAAUCACAAAACCUGGUAGAAUAUUGCCACUCCUGUCUGUCUGACGACGAUCAACUGGAAAAAGUCGUGUAUGAUGCCUCUUCUGCACCACAAUAUAGGUAACCGGUGGAAG
RNAcentral lists this unclassified non-coding RNA (233 nucleotides) under Hevea brasiliensis (rubber tree). Lineage: Eukaryota; Viridiplantae; Streptophyta; Magnoliopsida; Malpighiales; Euphorbiaceae. The record is from RNAcentral.